Molecule: long non-coding RNA, 2841 nt
Organism: Ictalurus punctatus (channel catfish)
Lineage: Eukaryota; Metazoa; Chordata; Actinopteri; Siluriformes; Ictaluridae
Source: Ensembl
UCCAUUUUUCUCCCCAUGUAUACAAAGCAUAACUGUCAUGAUAUGUGUCAUUUUAAGCCGAUUUUCCAUCCUGUGAUGCGAUGAAUUGGAGCGAAUAAGCUGGAAGCAGCAGAUGGCUAACAGCCCAGUGCGGUUGCUAAGGUUGCCUGAAUGCUACUCGCAGAGUUUUCUGGUUAGCAUAGAACAAGACAAGAGAGCUACACACAGAAUGAGCUAUCAAUCGUGUAAAAAGCGUAAUCCGUAGUCUUAAAAAAAUGAUUCGUCUGUGUUUGGAUGGCAGGCAUAUUGGCAAGUUGUCAUGACAACAGGGAUGUUCUGCUGAUGAAGACUUGCUGUCGACUGUCCAAUCGGAUGACGGCAGCUUAAACUGCAGCGUGAGCGCAAGUGUUGAGGGGGAUACACGUUUUCCAGAUACACACAAUGCCAAGGACGACGCCCUUGUCCAAGACCACCUACGGAUCAUAAUCGGCUACAGGAGAGGGAUGGCUAACGGACUGACACGAUCUACUUUGGAAUGAGAACAAGGCGGAGGAAGAAACGAGACAGGGCCAGAUAUACAGUAGUCAAAGUCAUCAAGGAAGUACCAUGGGCCAUCCACGGCUUGCAGAACCUCCACUGCUUGCAUUAGUGGAGCCCACAGACCAUUCUCUGAGGGGCAGAAGAUCAGUAGUACAGAGCUGCCGGACUUCAUUGAUGGUCGAUCCAGGAUAAAGGACGAGGAGGCCCAAAAGUAAAAAAAGGUGUGUGAGAAUUCUGUUUAACAUUUACGGAAGGAGUCUCCAGAGUCAGUGCUUUGUGCCAGUCGGGUUUUCCACCACAGUAAAGUCUUCAGGAAAGAGGAGUUUAUGCUUGGGGAUUUCUUGGUGACAUGGCAAGUUGCAAGUUUUCCUUCAAGAGGGUACGUCUAGUGAGGGAAAAACAAUUUGUAGCUGUUAUAAGUGACGAAAUGGGAUUCCAUAAGUGCUUACAGUAUGUAAGCCUUGAAUUCCAUACAUCUAGCAUAUAUACUGUAUAUCCCUGUGUUUUCUCACUACAGAUGAACUCUGUUGUUCUGAAAUGCUAUGCCCCUCCUCAGCCCCUGCGUUCUUGCCAGAGCAGCUUUAACCUUCACGCUGUUCAUCUAGGCAGUGGCGCUUUGUCUAAAUCUCCCACAUCAAAGGCAACAUGCAAAUGCUGCAGACAGUUGGAGCAUUUGAUGUUGUCUCUUUUUUUCCCGCCAGGGUAGGAGCUUAUGCUUACUGUGAUUACCGUGUCAGGAUGCAACAGUGUUUGCGAAAGGCUGAGUAGCUGUGAUGCCGUUCGAUUAACUAGCUAACUUCCAAAUGCUCAAGAACUAGAAUGCAUAGUUGGGUUUGAGUGUUCAUGUGAGGGAAUCUUGGCGAAAGAGCAGUUUAUUUUACCCAUAAUGCACUGUGAAUGCAGGUUUUAAAGCAGUAGCAGAGCAUAAAAAAAAGCCCAAUUACUUGAAUAGGAAAAUAGUUUGGCGUCAUUCUGAGCAACGAUGCAAAGCUUGAAAUUUCGUGUUGCCCAGUAGAAAACAGCAGGGUAGACUGUGGUGUGUCUCUUCUUUUUUAAAAAACAACAACAAAAAAAGACAAUGCACACUUUUCAUAGCUAGCUAGCUAGAUUACACAUUCAAAUGAUCAUUUAGCAUCCAUCUGUCUCCUAUAAACAUUUUCAAAUGAUUAUUUAUUUGCUAAGAAAAAUUCUAAGAUGAACAGUCCUCUCGAAACAAAGCAUUUCAGACGCAUCCAAAAAGAAAGCUUGUUUUUUUUUUUGUUUUUUUUUUCCCUCACAACUGUUUGAGAUGACAAUCAUAUUAAAUAUGACGGGGUUUUCUUAGUGUUCUCUCACUCUGUCUGUCGCUAGCCUUCUCUGUAUGUAAGUACAGCUGGACUUUACAAUUGCCCUGAGUGGAUUUAAUAUUGACUGAAAAAGAAUUUCCUGUUGCCAUCUUGAUGUCGUUUUCAUUUAAUACGAACAUCAGAUCUGAGUUUUAGCAAAAUGCUAGUAAUGCACAUUCACUCUAAGGCCAGGUCUGAGUUAACCCGUGUAUUUUUUUUACCCUACAGGAUAGAUUGCAUGUGUAUGCUGUUAUGUGAAUGAUUACUGUACAUGCAUACAUGGUAAAGUGUGAUAAAUAAUUAAUAAAACGCUGUUAUAGGUGGUGUAAUGCGUUAUCACCCAAUAACAGUUGGAUAACUAGAAGUAGCAAUUUAUUUAUUAAAGAAAAAUUUGUCAUAGUUUUUAUCCUUUUAUAGGUACGUUUAAUGUUUUGGAAUGUCUGCAAAACAAGUUACUUAUGUUAUUGCAGCUAUAAAUAAUUACCUCUGACUGUCACAAAACACUGACACUGGAGACUCUUUCCAAAAAUGCUAAUUAAAGAUCUCCAAACAGAAAACACAUUUUAUAGUUUACAUGGAGAGUCUGCCUGGAUUGCACUGUUACUGUAGAAAAGUGAUUUAUUAUAUACAGUGCAUCCGGAAAGUAUUCACAGCGCUUCACUUUUCCCACAUUUUGUUAUGUUACAGCUUUAUUCCAGCAUGGAUUCAAUUCAUUAUUUUCCUCAAAAUUCUACAAACAAUACCCCAUAAUGACAAUGUGAAAGAAGUUUGUUUGAAAUCUUUGCAAAUUUAUUUAAAAAAAAAAAAAAAAAAAAAAAAAGCACAUGGACAUAAGUAUUCACAGCCUUUGCUCAGUACUUUGUUGAAGCACCUUUGGCACCGAUUUCAGUCUCCAGACUUUUUGAGUAUGAUGCUACAAGCUUGGCACACCUAUUUUUUGGCAGUUUCUCACAUUCUUCUUUGCAGGACCUCUCAAGCUCCAUCAGGUUGGAUGGGG